UACAGAGGGUGCAAGCGUUAAUCGGAAUUACUGGGCGUAAAGCGUGCGCAGGCGGUUGUGCAAGACCGAUGUGAAAUCCCCGGGCUUAACCUGGGAAUGGCAUUGGUGACUGCACGGCUAGAGUGUGUCAGAGGGGGUAGAGUUCCACGUGUAGCAGUGAAAUGCGUAGAUAUCGAGAGGAACACCUGCGGCGAAGGCGGGUUGCUGGGCCGACACGUGACGCUGAUGCGCGAAGCC
RNAcentral lists this ribosomal RNA (237 nucleotides) under uncultured bacterium. Its description in RNAcentral is "partial 16S ribosomal RNA". It matches the Rfam family "Bacterial small subunit ribosomal RNA", at positions 524 to 760 of the family's 1533-position model. The record is from RNAcentral.